This 125-nucleotide small RNA is filed under the name Cricetulus griseus (Chinese hamster). RNAcentral describes it as "tRNA-Ser". Lineage: Eukaryota; Metazoa; Chordata; Mammalia; Rodentia; Cricetidae. The record is from RNAcentral.
UUUUGGUACUAGGGAUUGAAUCUAGGACCUCAUGCAUACUAGGUAGUUACCCCACUUGCUGAGCCACACCCCCAGCCCCUCACGGGGGAUUCUAGGCAGGGGCUCUACCAUUGAGCCACACCCCA